AUUAUCGAAGAGCUCCUCGACGAACUCCACGGUGCAGCCUGGUUUUCUAAGCUGGAUCUCCGCGCAGGCUAUCAUCAGAUUCGGUUGGCUCCUGGAGAGGAGUACAAGACCGCCUUUCAAACCCACCAAGGCCAUUUUGAAUUCAAAGUAGUCUCAUUCGUACUCGUAGGAGGCCCAACUACUUUCAUUGGAGCCAUCACAACAACGCUCAAGCCGCUCAACCGUGUGUGUGUGCUGUCAUUUUUCGACGACAUCCUCGUCUUCAGAAAAUCACUCCAAGAGCAUGUCGAGCACUUGCGCCAAGUACUCACACUCCUUCGCAAAGAUAACUGGAAAGUUAAACUCAGCAAGUGCGCUUUUGGGCAACAA
Molecule: ribosomal RNA, 369 nt
Filed under: Triticum aestivum (bread wheat)
Lineage: Eukaryota; Viridiplantae; Streptophyta; Magnoliopsida; Poales; Poaceae
Description: partial small subunit ribosomal RNA
Source: RNAcentral